Molecule: ribosomal RNA, 252 nt
Filed under: uncultured bacterium
Lineage: Bacteria
Description: partial 16S ribosomal RNA
Rfam family: Bacterial small subunit ribosomal RNA
Source: RNAcentral
UACGGAGGAUGCGAGCGUUAUCCGGAUUUAUUGGGUUUAAAGGGUGCGCAGGCGGCGUGUCAAGUCAGCGGUAAAAUGUCGGGGCUCAACCCCGGCCGGCCGUUGAAACUGGCGUGCUCGAGUUGGAGAGAAGUAUGCGGAAUUCGUGGUGUAGCAGUGAAAUGCGUAGAUAUCGAGAGGAACACUCGUGGCGAAGGCGGGUUCCUGGACAUUAACUGACGCUGAGGCACGAAGGCCAGGGGAGCGAAAGGG